CACACAGCUUCCUGGGCUGGGCAGACUUUUCUGCCUCUUAGAGUGGGCUGGAUUAAACAUUUUUGCCCUUGGUUGGGAGAUUUGUCAUAAGCUCUUCAAGGUAAACUAGAAUACCCCCUGGAGAAUAAUGUUUUAAAUGGAAUUACAGAAAAAUUCAUUGUGACUGUUAAGUGGCUAAAGAACAGAGAAUCCCUAGGGAGGGAUCAGAUCCCACGUGCCAUACUUGGAAAAGAUUUAGCCUUUCCAUUAGUGGGAAAGUGUGUGCAGAGUUGUGGUUAAUAACCGCAGUGUGCUGUGCUUAGCAUUUAGGGAGAACGUUUUUGUGUCUUUCCUGUUCUUUGGAUUUUGACUUCCUUCCUGAAAACCCUUCCCUGGCCUCUUUUGUGUCUUGUAAGCAUCAAUUUAAAUUGCCCGUUUGAUGUGGAAGGCUAAUGGAUUAUCUGUAGCUUUCCAUUAUUCUUAUCUCCUGGUCCCCAGGUAAUUAAAAGAUGGCAGCAAGGCUGAGUGAUUUCAACCGCUUUAUCCCGUUAUCAACAGUAUUUAUCUCUCUCUCUGCGUGGUUGAGCAUCCUCUUUUCUUCCGCUGAAGAAAUCUUGGCACCUUCACUGCUGCUGGCAGGAAGGAAGAAGGUCAUCCCAGGAUCGGCAAAUCUUCCUGGCAGUCAAGUUUCAGCGAGGCUGAGGUGUCGGCAUCUUAACAUUCUGCCCCUCACUCCUCAGAACAGGAAUCUGAAGGAUUGAACUGGGAACCACUUCCGGUUCUUGAGCCAGUGGGAAAAUGCACCUGGAGUGUGAUUCUAGUAGCCUGUUGGGGAUGGAUCACAGCGUAGCAGAGGGGAUGGGAGGGGAGUGACACCCUGAGGAGACAGUUGUGGCCCAGGAAGAGAGAAGGGACAGGAAGCAGACCAGAAACUCUGAAGUGCCGAGCCAAUGUGUCCCUUCUUGCUUAAUGUCAGCAAUGCCUUCCGGAAGCCUGGACUUCCCACCCUGGUAAUACCCCAAAAUGCUCCACAAUGCAUUCCUACUUCACUGACCCGCCCCUAACUGAGCCAUUUAAUGGUGUGAACUUGGACCGUUUAAAGUUUCCUACCUCAGUCUCUGCCUCUGAUUAUGACAUCUUCCCUGCUUCUGGAGCAGUGAUUCUAAAACUCAGCUAUGAUCCUCUCCUCCAGCUGAAAAUAUCUUGAGUCACUAUCUUCUUUUUUUUCUUUUUUUUGGUGGCACCUGCGGCAUGUGGAAGUUCCCAGACCGGAUCCUUAACCCUCUAGCCACAGCAGUGACAACCGGAUCCUUAACCCUUUAGCCACAGGGGAACUCGUCGGGUUGCUUUUUAAAUUAAUUAAUUAAGUAAGUAAUUUUGCUUUUUAGGGCUGCACCUGCAGCAUAUGGAAAUUCUAAGGCUAGUUAUCAAAUUGGAGCUGCAGCUGCUGGCCUAUGCCACAGCCACAGCAACACAGAUCUAAGCUCUGUCUGCAAUGCCAGAUCCUUAACCCACAGAGCGGGACCAGGUAUUGAAUGAACAUCCUCAUGGAAACUAGUCGGGUUGUAACCCACUGAGCCACAAUGGAAACUCUACUUUUUAAAUUCUUAUAUCCUUUAUCUCCUCUCCUCCUCAUCUUGCAGAAAGUCACUUUUUUUUCUUUUGGCUGCACCUGCGGCAUGUGGACAUUCCUGGGCCAGGGAUCAAACCCUUGCCACAGCAAUGACAAUGCCAGAUCCUUAACCCGAUGUAACACCAGGGAACUCCAGAAAGUCACAAUUUUAAUUUUGCUGCCUCUUUGUCUUUGUAAUUUGUCCUCCUGGUAAGAACCCCCUUCUUUCUCCCCUCUUCCUCCCUUAACCUCAUUUCUAGAACCCUUAACAUCCCUACGAACAAAUUCUAAUGCUGCUUUGUUGAAAAAGCUUAUCAAGACUUCUCUGAAGCUGUCUUCUUCUCUUCUUUACUGGCACAGCGCUGUUAUUGCAUGUAACCCAGUUUGCUUUGUUUAUUGGUUGCUUUUCUGCCUUUCCUGUGAACUGCUGGUAAUUGAGGGCAGGGCUGGUGUCUGAUUGAUCUGUAUCUGCCACUUGGCACCUCACACUCAGAGACAGAUUGUUAUAACUGUUCCUACUCUCUCCUUUGAACCUUGGGCAUCACUGCUUCUCUUCCUACAAACUCUUCCUCUUGGGGACCAAGAUGCCUGCCACAAGCUCCUGGUUUUUAUUCUUUGUAGGGCCAAUGCUAUUCUGUUUCCAAAUGUUCCUCUGGAUGGUGUAAUAACAGUUAAUAUCAUCAGCCCUCUCCUGGGAUAGAAGCUGUGAUUGUGCAGGAAUGCCAUUUUCACUGUCCUGGCGCCCAGCAUGGUAACCCCCAGGGUCGGAAGGAUGAGUCAUUGAGCAAAGCCUAUGUCCCCAUUUUGCAGAUGUUAAAAAUGGAGCUCAGUAAUGACUUCUCAAAGGGUGUUAAAGAUAAAAAUAAAAGGGGUGGAAAGUGAGCA
This 2476-nucleotide long non-coding RNA is filed under the name Sus scrofa (pig). Its description in RNAcentral is "lncRNA (ENSSSCG00050016287.1)". Lineage: Eukaryota; Metazoa; Chordata; Mammalia; Artiodactyla; Suidae. The record is from RNAcentral.